This 372-nucleotide ribosomal RNA is filed under the name uncultured organism. RNAcentral's name for it is "partial 16S ribosomal RNA". It matches the Rfam family "Bacterial small subunit ribosomal RNA", at positions 527 to 896 of the family's 1533-position model. The record is from RNAcentral.
GUAGGUGGCAAGCGUUGUCCGGAAUUAUUGGGCGUAAAGCGCGCGCAGGCGGUUCUUUAAGUCUGAUGUGAAAGCCCACGGCUCAACCGUGGAGGGUCAUUGGAAACUGGAGAACUUGAGUACAGAAGAGGAAAGCGGAAUUCCACGUGUAGCGGUGAAAUGCGUAGAGAUGUGGAGGAACACCAGUGGCGAAGGCGGCUUUCUGGUCUGUAACUGACGCUGAGGCGCGAAAGCGUGGGGAGCAAACAGGAUUAGAUACCCUGGUAGUCCGCGCCGUAAACGAUGAGUGCUAAGUGUUAGGGGGUUUCCGCCCCCCUUAGUGCUGCAGCUAACGCAUUAAGCACUCCGCCUGGGAGUACGGCCGCAAGGCUG